Molecule: long non-coding RNA, 417 nt
Filed under: Gossypium barbadense (sea-island cotton)
Lineage: Eukaryota; Viridiplantae; Streptophyta; Magnoliopsida; Malvales; Malvaceae
Description: long non-coding RNA (GBAR_LNC003124)
Source: RNAcentral
CCAAGAUAGUUUUCCCCAAAUUUCGACAAUCUAAUUUCACCCAAAAAGAGUAUGGAAAAACCCUAGAAAUUGGGGAUUUUUGGGCUGAUUCCUUAAGAUAGAAAAAGGCUGAAAACACAAUAAGAACAGAAAAUAGAUUAGAUAAUGAUUCAGCACAAGUAGAAAUAAAGAAAGAAUUGACAGUAAGAAAUUAAAAGAUAAGUCCUAAGAAGCCUUGAAAUCUCGAAAGAUCUCAUAACUCCCUUCAAACGGCUCUAAUCUCCCCUCCAAAUAAUAUCAAUGGCAAGAAGAAGGUUGAAGAUGGCUCCCACAAUCACAAGAUUGUUAAAACAACUUCUAAAGAAAACUCAAGAGAAAAAUCUUGGAGAAAACUCAAAGAAAAUUCUGCUCUCAACAAAUCUGAAAUUUUAAUAAUAA